Molecule: unclassified non-coding RNA, 24 nt
Filed under: Mus musculus (house mouse)
Lineage: Eukaryota; Metazoa; Chordata; Mammalia; Rodentia; Muridae
Description: oocyte_clustered_small_RNA606
Source: RNAcentral
AGCACACCCACCUCAGCCAGUCCU